GUGCCAGCAGCCGCGGUAAAACGUAGGAGGCAAGCGUUAUCCGGAGUUACUGGGCGUAAAGAGUGCGUAGGCGGACCUGUAAGUGGGUGGUGAAAGCGCCCGGCUAAACCGGGCGAGGUUCAUUCAGACUGCAGGUCUAGAGGCGGAUAGAGGGGUGCGGAAUUCCGGGUGUAGCGGUGAAAUGUGUAGAGAUCCGGAGGAACACCAGUGGUGCAAACGGCGCCCUGGGUCCGAACUGACGCUGAAGCACGAAAGCGUGGGGAGCGAACGGGAUUAGAAACCCCGGUAGUCC
This 292-nucleotide ribosomal RNA is filed under the name uncultured bacterium. RNAcentral describes it as "partial 16S ribosomal RNA". It matches the Rfam family "Bacterial small subunit ribosomal RNA", at positions 505 to 796 of the family's 1533-position model. The record is from RNAcentral.